This 447-nucleotide ribosomal RNA is filed under the name uncultured bacterium. RNAcentral's name for it is "partial 16S ribosomal RNA". It matches the Rfam family "Bacterial small subunit ribosomal RNA", at positions 29 to 523 of the family's 1533-position model. The record is from RNAcentral.
AGUGAACGCUGGCGGCAGGCUUAACACAUGCAAGUCGAACGCCCCGCAAGGGGAGUGGCAGACGGGUGAGUAACGCGUGGGAAUAUCCCCUUUGGUUCAGGAUAGCCCCGGGAAACUGGGAUUAAUACUGGAUAAGAUCUACGGAUGAAAGAUUUAUCGCCGAAGGAUUAGCCCGCGUAAGAUUAGCUAGUUGGUGAGGUAAUGGCUUACCAAGGCUACGAUCUUUAGCUGGUCUGAGAGGAUGAUCAGCCACACUGGAACUGAGACACGGUCCAGACUCCUACGGGAGGCAGCAGUGAGGAAUAUUGGACAAUGGGCGCAAGCCUGAUCCAGCCAUGCCGCGUGAGUGAUGAAGGCCCUAGGGUUGUAAAACUCUUUUAGUUGGGAAAAUAAUGACGGUACCAACAGAAAAAGCUCCGGCUAACUUCGUGCCAGCCGCCGCCGUAA